GAAUAGAAGGUUUGGCCUGCUAAGCCGGCCAGAGACAUCAGCUCGUCUAAGUGGUCCCCGACCAAACGCGUAAGUUCAGCUUAUGUUGUGGGCAUUAAAUCUGUGGCUCGACCAGGCCUCAUCAAACCUCCCACACCAGCCACCUAGGAGGUACCAGCGAUGGUUCAGGCCAAGGUGAAUAUCUCAACAACCAGGAAGUAUUUUAGCGUGAAACCAAUUUGCUAAGAAAGCUAACUCAUCAAGGAAUCACUGAGGCUUGGAAGUACCAGAAAAGAUAUCCGGACCAGAAAAAUAUGAAUUUUACAAACCAGAGGUUCCCAGUCUGUCCAUCUGCUAGCUAGUAUCA
This 346-nucleotide long non-coding RNA is filed under the name Brassica rapa (field mustard). Its description in RNAcentral is "long non-coding RNA (BRAP_LNC003447)". Lineage: Eukaryota; Viridiplantae; Streptophyta; Magnoliopsida; Brassicales; Brassicaceae. The record is from RNAcentral.